Molecule: ribosomal RNA, 468 nt
Filed under: uncultured bacterium
Lineage: Bacteria
Description: partial 16S ribosomal RNA
Rfam family: Bacterial small subunit ribosomal RNA
Source: RNAcentral
GACGAACGCUGGCGGCGUGCUUAACACAUGCAAGUCGAACGGAAAGGCCCUGCUUUUGUGGGGUGCUCGAGUGGCGAACGGGUGAGUAACACGUGAGUAACCUGCCCUUGACUUUGGGAUAACUUCAGGAAACUGGGGCUAAUACCGGAUAGGAGCUCCUGCUGCUUGGUGGGGGUUGGAAAGUUUCGGCGGGUGGGGAUGGACUCGCGGCCUAUCAGCCUGUUGGUGGGGUAGUGGCUUACCAAGGCUUUGACGGGUAGCCGGCCUGAGAGGGUGACCGGCCACAGUGGGACUGAGAUACGGCCCAGACUCCUACGGGAGGCAGCAGUGGGGAAUAGUGCACGAUGGGCGGAAGCCUGAUGCAGCAACGCCGCGUGCGGGAUGACGGCCGUCGGGUUGUAAACCGCGUUCGCCUGUGACGAAGCGUGAGUGACGGUAAUGGGUAAAGAAGCACCGGCUAACUACGUG